GGUACGGUAAAUGUAUAUAAAGGUCACUGCGCUGAUCAAAAUACAGAAGCUGCCUUUAGAAGACUUUGUUGCUACAGGGAGGUUUCACCGUUGAAUUUAAGGAUGCAGGGGUUUACAGUGUUCAUGCUGCUAGUCGUGGCUGUCGUCGCCAAUGCCGACUUUAUCAUGUUUCCUAGAACAGACGAUUGCCCGGGGAAUUUAGUCAAAACCACAAGCAAUUGCGAUUUGGCAUGCGCGCGCACUUGCGAGAAACCCGGAGUUCCGGCCUGCUACCGGAUAUGCUGGCGUGGGUGUGUCUGUCCACCAGGUGCCCCAUUGCUCGUGGACAAGGCAAACUGGAUUUGCGGCUCCAGCGCAGACUGUCCUAAGAAGUGAUUUCUGCCUGCUGGCAUAAAGCAAGACGCGUAAUGAAUCCCGAAGUAAUGAAAAUAAAAGUCGUGAAAUCCAAAAGAUGUUUCUUUGUUUGU
Lingula anatina is the source of this 467-nucleotide long non-coding RNA. NCBI's taxonomy places the organism in Eukaryota, Metazoa, Brachiopoda, Lingulata, Lingulida, Lingulidae. The record is from RefSeq and is a predicted model, not a curated record.